Long non-coding RNA from Hippocampus comes (tiger tail seahorse), 142 nucleotides. RefSeq lists it as uncharacterized. The record is from RefSeq and is a predicted model, not a curated record. NCBI's taxonomy places the organism in Eukaryota, Metazoa, Chordata, Actinopteri, Syngnathiformes, Syngnathidae. The transcript has 2 exons.
UGGGGUUCGGUUUGACAUUCAAAAGGCAAAUAACUGACAAAACUUGGUCAAUAAAUGGAAGCCAAGCGUGUGGUCCUUUGUAUGUCAAACACAAAGGCGUUAGCAGAAUCAAGAAUCAAGUGGCACCGUGAUGCAAACAGUC